Molecule: ribosomal RNA, 253 nt
Filed under: uncultured prokaryote
Description: partial 16S ribosomal RNA
Rfam family: Bacterial small subunit ribosomal RNA
Source: RNAcentral
UACGUAGGGGGCGAGCGUUGUCCGGAGUUACUGGGCGUAAAGGGCGUGCAGGCGGUGCAGUAAGUUUGGAGUGACAGUUCCCGGCUCAACUGGGGAAGGCCUCUGAAAACUGCUGGACUUGAGGGCCAGAGAGGGACAUAGAAUUCCGGGUGGAGUGGUGAAAUGCGUAGAUAUCCGGAGGAACACCAAAGGCGAAGGCAGUGUCCUGGGAAGCAUCUGACGCUCAGGUGCGAAAGCCAGGGGAGCGAACGGG